RNAcentral lists this ribosomal RNA (2931 nucleotides) under Escherichia coli. RNAcentral's name for it is "bacterial LSU rRNA". It matches the Rfam family "Bacterial large subunit ribosomal RNA". The record is from RNAcentral. Lineage: Bacteria; Pseudomonadati; Pseudomonadota; Gammaproteobacteria; Enterobacterales; Enterobacteriaceae.
GGGUUGUGAGGUUAAGCGACUAAGCGUACACGGUGGAUGCCCUGGCAGUCAGAGGCGAUGAAGGACGUGCUAAUCUGCGAUAAGCGUCGGUAAGGUGAUAUGAACCGUUAUAACCGGCGAUUUCCGAAUGGGGAAACCCAGUGUGUUUCGACACACUAUCAUUAACUGAAUCCAUAGGUUAAUGAGGCGAACCGGGGGAACUGAAACAUCUAAGUACCCCGAGGAAAAGAAAUCAACCGAGAUUCCCCCAGUAGCGGCGAGCGAACGGGGAGCAGCCCAGAGCCUGAAUCAGUGUGUGUGUUAGUGGAAGCGUCUGGAAAGGCGCGCGAUACAGGGUGACAGCCCCGUACACAAAAAUGCACAUGCUGUGAGCUCGAUGAGUAGGGCGGGACACGUGGUAUCCUGUCUGAAUAUGGGGGGACCAUCCUCCAAGGCUAAAUACUCCUGACUGACCGAUAGUGAACCAGUACCGUGAGGGAAAGGCGAAAAGAACCCCGGCGAGGGGAGUGAAAAAGAACCUGAAACCGUGUACGUACAAGCAGUGGGAGCACGCUUAGGCGUGUGACUGCGUACCUUUUGUAUAAUGGGUCAGCGACUUAUAUUCUGUAGCAAGGUUAACCGAAUAGGGGAGCCGAAGGGAAACCGAGUCUUAACUGGGCGUUAAGUUGCAGGGUAUAGACCCGAAACCCGGUGAUCUAGCCAUGGGCAGGUUGAAGGUUGGGUAACACUAACUGGAGGACCGAACCGACUAAUGUUGAAAAAUUAGCGGAUGACUUGUGGCUGGGGGUGAAAGGCCAAUCAAACCGGGAGAUAGCUGGUUCUCCCCGAAAGCUAUUUAGGUAGCGCCUCGUGAAUUCAUCUCCGGGGGUAGAGCACUGUUUCGGCAAGGGGGUCAUCCCGACUUACCAACCCGAUGCAAACUGCGAAUACCGGAGAAUGUUAUCACGGGAGACACACGGCGGGUGCUAACGUCCGUCGUGAAGAGGGAAACAACCCAGACCGCCAGCUAAGGUCCCAAAGUCAUGGUUAAGUGGGAAACGAUGUGGGAAGGCCCAGACAGCCAGGAUGUUGGCUUAGAAGCAGCCAUCAUUUAAAGAAAGCGUAAUAGCUCACUGGUCGAGUCGGCCUGCGCGGAAGAUGUAACGGGGCUAAACCAUGCACCGAAGCUGCGGCAGCGACGCUGAUGCGUUGUUGGGUAGGGGAGCGUUCUGUAAGCCUGCGAAGGUGUGCUGUGAGGCAUGCUGGAGGUAUCAGAAGUGCGAAUGCUGACAUAAGUAACGAUAAAGCGGGUGAAAAGCCCGCUCGCCGGAAGACCAAGGGUUCCUGUCCAACGUUAAUCGGGGCAGGGUGAGUCGACCCCUAAGGCGAGGCCGAAAGGCGUAGUCGAUGGGAAACAGGUUAAUAUUCCUGUACUUGGUGUUACUGCGAAGGGGGGACGGAGAAGGCUAUGUUGGCCGGGCGACGGUUGUCCCGGUUUAAGCGUGUAGGCUGGUUUUCCAGGCAAAUCCGGAAAAUCAAGGCUGAGGCGUGAUGACGAGGCACUACGGUGCUGAAGCAACAAAUGCCCUGCUUCCAGGAAAAGCCUCUAAGCAUCAGGUAACAUCAAAUCGUACCCCAAACCGACACAGGUGGUCAGGUAGAGAAUACCAAGGCGCUUGAGAGAACUCGGGUGAAGGAACUAGGCAAAAUGGUGCCGUAACUUCGGGAGAAGGCACGCUGAUAUGUAGGUGAAGUCCCUCGCGGAUGGAGCUGAAAUCAGUCGAAGAUACCAGCUGGCUGCAACUGUUUAUUAAAAACACAGCACUGUGCAAACACGAAAGUGGACGUAUACGGUGUGACGCCUGCCCGGUGCCGGAAGGUUAAUUGAUGGGGUUAGCGCAAGCGAAGCUCUUGAUCGAAGCCCCGGUAAACGGCGGCCGUAACUAUAACGGUCCUAAGGUAGCGAAAUUCCUUGUCGGGUAAGUUCCGACCUGCACGAAUGGCGUAAUGAUGGCCAGGCUGUCUCCACCCGAGACUCAGUGAAAUUGAACUCGCUGUGAAGAUGCAGUGUACCCGCGGCAAGACGGAAAGACCCCGUGAACCUUUACUAUAGCUUGACACUGAACAUUGAGCCUUGAUGUGUAGGAUAGGUGGGAGGCUUUGAAGUGUGGACGCCAGUCUGCAUGGAGCCGACCUUGAAAUACCACCCUUUAAUGUUUGAUGUUCUAACGUGGACCCGUAAUCCGGGUUGCGGACAGUGUCUGGUGGGUAGUUUGACUGGGGCGGUCUCCUCCUAAAGAGUAACGGAGGAGCACGAAGGUUGGCUAAUCCUGGUCGGACAUCAGGAGGUUAGUGCAAUGGCAUAAGCCAGCUUGACUGCGAGCGUGACGGCGCGAGCAGGUGCGAAAGCAGGUCAUAGUGAUCCGGUGGUUCUGAAUGGAAGGGCCAUCGCUCAACGGAUAAAAGGUACUCCGGGGAUAACAGGCUGAUACCGCCCAAGAGUUCAUAUCGACGGCGGUGUUUGGCACCUCGAUGUCGGCUCAUCACAUCCUGGGGCUGAAGUAGGUCCCAAGGGUAUGGCUGUUCGCCAUUUAAAGUGGUACGCGAGCUGGGUUUAGAACGUCGUGAGACAGUUCGGUCCCUAUCUGCCGUGGGCGCUGGAGAACUGAGGGGGGCUGCUCCUAGUACGAGAGGACCGGAGUGGACGCAUCACUGGUGUUCGGGUUGUCAUGCCAAUGGCACUGCCCGGUAGCUAAAUGCGGAAGAGAUAAGUGCUGAAAGCAUCUAAGCACGAAACUUGCCCCGAGAUGAGUUCUCCCUGACCCUUUAAGGGUCCUGAAGGAACGUUGAAGACGACGACGUUGAUAGGCCGGGUGUGUAAGCGCAGCGAUGCGUUGAGCUAACCGGUACUAAUGAACCGUGAGGCUUAACCUUACAACGCCGAAGGUGUUU